CUGCUGCCUCCCGUAGGAGUCUGGUCCGUGUCUCAGUACCAGUGUGGGGGACCUUCCUCUCAGAACCCCUACGCAUCGUCGCCUCGGUGGGCCGUUACCCCGCCGACUAGCUAAUGCGACGCAUGGCCAUCCUAUGCCGGAGUCGCCUCCUUUGACCCCAAGAAGAUGUCUCCUAAAGGUGUUAUGCGGUAUUAGACGGAAUUUCUUCCGCUUAUCCCCCUGCAUAGGGCAGGUUCCAUACGUGUUACUCACCCGUGCGCCGG
This 263-nucleotide ribosomal RNA is filed under the name uncultured bacterium. Its description in RNAcentral is "partial 16S ribosomal RNA". The record is from RNAcentral.